This 881-nucleotide ribosomal RNA is filed under the name Lasiodiplodia theobromae. Its description in RNAcentral is "partial large subunit ribosomal RNA". It matches the Rfam family "Eukaryotic large subunit ribosomal RNA", at positions 39 to 938 of the family's 3401-position model. Lineage: Eukaryota; Fungi; Ascomycota; Dothideomycetes; Botryosphaeriales; Botryosphaeriaceae. The record is from RNAcentral.
CAUAUCAAUAAGCGGAGGAAAAGAAACCAACAGGGAUUGCCUUAGUAACGGCGAGUGAAGCGGCAACAGCUCAAAUUUGAAAGCUGGCCCUUUUAGGGUCCGCAUUGUAAUUUGUAGAGGAUGAUUCGGCGAGGGCUCCUGCCUAAGUCCCCUGGAACGGGGCGUCAUAGAGGGUGAGAAUCCCGUAUGCGGUAGGUUGCCUUAGCCAUGUGAAUCUCCUUCGACGAGUCGAGUUGUUUGGGAAUGCAGCUCUAAAUGGGAGGUAAAUUUCUUCUAAAGCUAAAUACCGGCCAGAGACCGAUAGCGCACAAGUAGAGUGAUCGAAAGAUGAAAAGCACUUUGGAAAGAGAGUUAAAAAGUACGUGAAAUUGUUGAAAGGGAAGCGCUUGCAACCAGACUUGUCCGCAGUUGCUCAGCCGGUCUCCUGACCGGCGUACUCUUCUGCGGCCAGGCCAGCAUCAGUUCGGGCGGUCGGAUAAAGGCCUCGGGAAUGUGGCUCCUCUCGGGGAGUGUUAUAGCCCGGGGUGCAAUGCGGCCAGCCUGGACUGAGGAACUCGCUUCGGCAAGGAUGCUGGCGUAAUGGUUGUAAGCGGCCCGUCUUGAAACACGGACCAAGGAGUCUAACAUCUAUGCGAGUGUUCGGGUGUCAAACCCGUACGCGUAAUGAAAGUGAACGGAGGUGGGAACCCGCAAGGGUGCACCAUCGGCCGAUCCUGAUGUCUUCGGAUGGAUUUGAGCAAGAGCAUAGCUGUUGGGACCCGAAAGAUGGUGAACUAUGCCUGAAUAGGGUGAAGCCAGAGGAAACUCUGGUGGAGGCUCGCAGCGGUUCUGACGUGCAAAUCGAUCGUCAAAUUUGGGUAUAGGGGCGAAAGACUAAUCGA